UACGGAGGGUGCAAGCGUUAUCCGGAUUCACUGGGUUUAAAGGGUGCGUAGGUGGGUUGGUAAGUCAGUGGUGAAAUCCCCGAGCUUAACUUGGGAACUGCCAUUGAUACUAUUAGUCUUGAAUACUGUGGAGGUUAGCGGAAUAUGUCAUGUAGCGGUGAAAUGCUUAGAUAUGACAUAGAACACCAAUUGCGAAGGCAGCUGGCUACACAAAUAUUGACACUGAGGCUCGAAAGCGUGGGGAUCAAACAGG
RNAcentral lists this ribosomal RNA (253 nucleotides) under uncultured bacterium. Its description in RNAcentral is "partial 16S ribosomal RNA". It matches the Rfam family "Bacterial small subunit ribosomal RNA", at positions 524 to 776 of the family's 1533-position model. The record is from RNAcentral.